UACGAAGGGGGCUAGCGUUGCUCGGAAUUACUGGGCGUAAAGCGCACGUAGGCGGCUUUCUAAGUCGGGGGUGAAAUCCUGGAGCUCAACUCCAGAACUGCCUUCGAUACUGGAAAGCUCGAGUCCGGGAGAGGUGAGUGGAACUGCGAGUGUAGAGGUGAAAUUCGUAGAUAUUCGGAAGAACACCAGUGGCGAAGGCGGCUCACUGGUCCGGUACUGACGCUGAGGUGCGAAAGCGUGGGGAGCAAACAGG
Molecule: ribosomal RNA, 253 nt
Filed under: uncultured bacterium
Lineage: Bacteria
Description: partial 16S ribosomal RNA
Rfam family: Bacterial small subunit ribosomal RNA
Source: RNAcentral